UAAGGAAUAUUGGUCAAUGGACGCAAGUCUGAACCAGCCAUGCCGCGUGGAGGAUUAAGGCCCUCUGGGUUGUAAACUCCUUUUAUCUGGGAAGAAAUGUACUUUUUCUUGAGUACUUGACGGUACCAGAGGAAUAAGCACCGGCUAACUCCGUGCCAGCAGCCGCGGUAAUACGGAGGGUGCAAGCGUUAUCCGGAUUCACUGGGUUUAAAGGGUGCGUAGGUGGGCAGGUAAGUCAGUGGUGAAAUCUCCGGGCUUAACCCGGAAACUGCCGUUGAUACUAUUUGUCUUGAAUAUUGUGGAGGUAAGCGGAAUAUGUCAUGUAGCGGUGAAAUGCUUAGAUAUGACAUAGAACACCAAUUGCGAAGGCAGCUUACUACACAAUCAUUGACGCUGAGGCACGAAAG
RNAcentral lists this ribosomal RNA (407 nucleotides) under uncultured bacterium. Its description in RNAcentral is "bacterial SSU rRNA". It matches the Rfam family "Bacterial small subunit ribosomal RNA", at positions 355 to 759 of the family's 1533-position model. The record is from RNAcentral.